Molecule: ribosomal RNA, 512 nt
Filed under: uncultured bacterium
Lineage: Bacteria
Description: bacterial SSU rRNA
Rfam family: Bacterial small subunit ribosomal RNA
Source: RNAcentral
AUUGAACGCUGGCGGCAUGCCUUACACAUGCAAGUCGAGCGGCAGCGCGGGGGCAACCCUGGCGGCGAGCGGCGAACGGGUGAGUAAUACAUCGGAACGUGCCCAGUAGUGGGGGAUAACCUCUCGAAAGAGAGGCUAAUACCGCAUACGACCUACGGGUGAAAGCGGGGGACCGCAAGGCCUCGCGCUAUUGGAGCGGCCGAUGUCGGAUUAGCUAGUUGGCGGGGUAAAGGCCCACCAAGGCGACGAUCCGUAGCUGGUCUGAGAGGACGACCAGCCACACUGGAACUGAGACUCGGUCCAGACUCCUACGGGAGGCUGCAGAGGGGAAUAUUGCGCAAUGGACGAAAGUCUGACGCAGCGACGCCGCGUGUGGGAGGAAGCUCUUCGGGGUGUAAACCACUGUCAGGAGGGAAGAAACUCGCCGGCCCGAACAGGAACGGCGAUUGACGGUACCUCCAAAGGAAGCGCCGGCUAACUCCGUGCUAGCAGCCGCGGUAAGACGGAGGGCG